GAGUUUGAUCAUGGCUCAGAUUGAACGCUGGCGGCAGGCCUAACACAUGCAAGUCGAGCGGAUGAGUGGAGCUUGCUCCAUGAUUCAGCGGCGGACGGGUGAGUAAUGCCUAGGAAUCUGCCUGGUAGUGGGGGAUAACGUUUCGAAAGGAACGCUAAUACCGCAUACGUCCUACGGGAGAAAGUGGGGGAUCUUCGGACCUCACGCUAUCAGGUGAGCCUAGGUCGGAUUAGCUAGUUGGUGGGGUAAUGGCCCACCAAGGCGACGAUCCGUAACUGGUCUGAGAGGAUGAUCAGUCACACUGGAACUGAGACACGGUCCAGACUCCUACGGGAGGCAGCAGUGGGGAAUAUUGGACAAUGGGCGAAAGCCUGAUCCAGCCAUGCCGCGUGUGUGAAGAAGGUCUUCAGAUUGUAAAGCACUUUAAGUUGGGAGGAAGGGCAGUAAGUUAACACCUUGCUGUUUUGACGUUACCAACAGAAUAAGCACCGGCUAACUUCGUGCCAGCAGCCGCGGUAAUACGAAGGGUGCAAGCGUUAAUCGGAAUUACUGGGCGUAAAGCGCGCGUAGGUGGUUCAGCAAGUUGGAUGUGAAAGCCCCGGGCUCAACCUGGGAAUUGCAUCCAAAACUACUGAGCUAGAGUACGGUAGAGGGUGGUGGAAUUUCCUGUGUAGCGGUGAAAUGC
RNAcentral lists this ribosomal RNA (685 nucleotides) under uncultured organism. Its description in RNAcentral is "bacterial SSU rRNA". It matches the Rfam family "Bacterial small subunit ribosomal RNA", at positions 9 to 689 of the family's 1533-position model. The record is from RNAcentral.